This 843-nucleotide ribosomal RNA is filed under the name uncultured bacterium. Its description in RNAcentral is "bacterial SSU rRNA". It matches the Rfam family "Bacterial small subunit ribosomal RNA", at positions 21 to 888 of the family's 1533-position model. The record is from RNAcentral.
GGCUCAGGAUGAACGCUGGCGGCGUGCCUAACACAUGCAAGUCGAACGGAGGCUUUCGGGCCUUAGUGGCGCACGGGUGAGUAACACGUGGCUGACCUACCUCAGAGUAGGGGAUAACGUUCCGAAAGGAAUGCUAAUACCCUAUAAGCUCCCGACGGUUAGAGGGUUGGGAGAAAAGUUCAGGCGCUUUGAGAGGGGGCUGCGGGCCAUCAGCUAGUUGGUGUGGUAACGGCGCACCAAGGCGACGACGGCUAGGGGGCCUGAGAGGGUGACCCCCCACACUGGAACUGAGAGACGGUCCAGACUCCUACGGGAGGCAGCAGUGAGGAAUAUUGCACAAUGGGCGCAAGCCUGAUGCAGCGACGCCGCGUGGGUGAUGAAGGCUUUCGGGUCGUAAAGCCCUUUUCUAGGUGACGAGAAUGGACGGUAGCCUAGGAAUAAGUGUCGGCUAACUACGUGCCAGCAGCCGCGGUAAAACGUAGGACACAAGCGUUAUCCGGAGUUACUGGGCGUAAAGGGCGUGUAGGCGGAUCGGUAAGUCUACUCUGAAAGCUCCUGGCUAAACUGGGAGAGGCGAGUGGAGACUGUCGGUCUAGAGUGAGGAAGAGGAAAGUGGAAUUCCGCGUGUAGUGGUGAAAUGCGUAGAGAUGCGGAGGAACACCAGUGGCGAAAGCGGCUUUCUGGUCCUUAACUGACGCUGAGGCGCGAAAGCAUGGGGAGCGAACGGGAUUAGAAACCCCGGUAGUCCAUGCCGUAAACGAUGUUCACUAAACGUUCGUUUCCCGCGAGGGAAGUGGGUGUUGAAGCUAACGCAGUAAGUGAACCGCCUGGGGAGUACGGUCG